GCCUUCGUGGUGUAACGGUAGCACACUCGGCUCGUACUCGCGAAGUCAAGGUUCGAGUCCCGACGAGGGCU
This 71-nucleotide transfer RNA is filed under the name Stegodyphus mimosarum. It matches the Rfam family "tRNA". Rfam says of the family: Transfer RNA (tRNA) molecules are approximately 80 nucleotides in length. The record is from Rfam by way of RNAcentral. Lineage: Eukaryota; Metazoa; Arthropoda; Arachnida; Araneae; Eresidae.